ACAUGCUUACAACAUAGUGUUAAUGCACUAGAUCCCAUUAUAAUUCAGUAGUUAAGCACGCUCAGGCUAGAGUAGUACUAGGAUGGGUGAUCACCCAGGAAGUCCUAGUAUUUUACAUGCA
Molecule: non-coding RNA, 121 nt
Organism: Picea glauca (white spruce)
Lineage: Eukaryota; Viridiplantae; Streptophyta; Pinopsida; Pinales; Pinaceae
Source: Rfam